This 89-nucleotide transfer RNA is filed under the name Ananas comosus (pineapple). It matches the Rfam family "tRNA". Rfam says of the family: Transfer RNA (tRNA) molecules are approximately 80 nucleotides in length. Their secondary structure includes four short double-helical elements and three loops (D, anti-codon, and T loops). Further hydrogen bonds mediate the characteristic L-shaped molecular structure. tRNAs have two regions of fundamental functional importance: the anti-codon, which is responsible for specific mRNA codon recognition, and the 3' end, to which the tRNAs corresponding amino acid is attached (by aminoacyl-tRNA synthetases). tRNAs cope with the degeneracy of the genetic code in two manners: having more than one tRNA (with a specific anti-codon) for a particular amino acid; and 'wobble' base-pairing, i.e. permitting non-standard base-pairing at the 3rd anti-codon position. The record is from Rfam by way of RNAcentral. Lineage: Eukaryota; Viridiplantae; Streptophyta; Magnoliopsida; Poales; Bromeliaceae.
CCGACCUUAGCUCAGUUGGCAGAGCGGAGGACUGUAGUUGGAAUCAUCAGCCAAUCCUUAGGUCGCUGGUUCGAAUCCGGCAGGUCGGA